This 807-nucleotide long non-coding RNA is filed under the name Nicotiana tabacum (common tobacco). RNAcentral describes it as "long non-coding RNA (NTAB_LNC014914)". The record is from RNAcentral. Lineage: Eukaryota; Viridiplantae; Streptophyta; Magnoliopsida; Solanales; Solanaceae.
UGAAGAAUUGAAGAAGAAAUCAGGCGUCCACCUGGAGAAUGAGGAUGAAGAAUCAAAAAGGAAAAGUCAGGCGUCCACCUGGAGAAUGAGGAUGAAGAAUCAAAAGGAAAGUCAGGCGUCCACUUGGAGAAUGAGGAUGAAGAAUCAAAAAGGAAAAGUCAGGCGUCCACCUAGAGAAUAAGGAUGAAAAAUUGAAGAAGAAAUAAGGCGUCCACCUGGAGAAUGAGGAUGAAGAAUUUAAGAAGUCAGGCGCCCACCUGGAGAAUAAGGGAAUACAAUUGAAGCAACAGAAGUAAGGCGCCCACCUGGAGAACAAGGGAACAUAAUUGAAGUAUUGAAAUCAAAAGCCCGCUCAUAUGAGAAAGGAGCACACUUAGAGUCAAUAAAGCAGUGGAGUCCAACAAAAUCCCCAGCAGGAAAAACAAGAGUCCCAAACAGAGAAAGGAAAUACGAGACACAAUGAAAGGAAAUGCAGAAUAAGCAAAAUGCCCAAGAGUCGUCAAGAUAUCAAGACAACAAGAAACGCAAGGGCAUGAUCUAGAUAAGAUUUUAUAAUUCAUGAACCAUAGUCUGAUUUAGCUUUUUGUUUUACCUUUAAAGCAAGGUGUAAUAAGGAGGUCAGCAAGCAGUAAAAGUAGCACGAAACAGCAGUAACUUCAUAGUCCCACGGUAGUCCCAGCUACCCAAAACUUCCCGAACUACAUUGACCUGAUUCCUUUAUAGCCAAGGAUAUAUAGGAAACCUUUGAAGCAGAGGUUCGGUCAAAUCUUUCAAAAAAAUGCUUCCCACGGAGUAUUUGAACGGACA